UGGAGGAAAGAUGAUGGCCUCCUUCAACAGAACUAUGAGUUGUCCAAGAUUUCACAAAGUUCUUCAAGCAUGGCAUUUGAUGAGGAGCCCUAAGAUGACUUGAGCCUCACGUCAACUCUCUUUGCUACCAACAAACAGUGGAAGACCAUUAAUUCAUCUUGCAGUCUUCCCUUGGGUACUUCAAGAUAUAUGAGCAAAUGGCUUAUAGAGCCAAUAAAGCGCCCCUCUUUGGAGACCACCACUUCAUGCAAUGGGGAGUGACAUUAGGGCUGAACUUUAAGAAAGAGAACUCUGACAGUAAUGAGAAGACAGAAAAAGAGAAUGACCAGAUAUCCAAAAUGGGAUCGUAGCAUCGAACAUGAGAAGGCCAUGCAUAAGAUGGGAGCACUUGGAGAAAAAGGCAUUUUACGACUGUCGUUUCCAAAAGUGUUAUGU
This 435-nucleotide long non-coding RNA is filed under the name Homo sapiens (human). Its description in RNAcentral is "HSALNT0252243". Lineage: Eukaryota; Metazoa; Chordata; Mammalia; Primates; Hominidae. The record is from RNAcentral.